This 265-nucleotide ribosomal RNA is filed under the name uncultured bacterium. Its description in RNAcentral is "partial 16S ribosomal RNA". It matches the Rfam family "Bacterial small subunit ribosomal RNA", at positions 524 to 787 of the family's 1533-position model. The record is from RNAcentral.
UACGUAGGGUGCAAGCGUUAAUCGGAAUUACUGGGCGUAAAGCGUGCGCAGGCGGUUUGGUAAGACAGAUGUGAAAUCCCCGGGCUCAACCUGGGAAUUGCAUUUGUGACUGCCCGACUAGAGUGUGUCAGAGGGGGGUAGAAUUCCACGUGUAGCAGUGAAAUGCGUAGAGAUGUGGAGGAAUACCGAUGGCGAAGGCAGCCCCCUGGGAUAACACUGACGCUCAUGCACGAAAGCGUGGGGAGCAAACAGGAUUAGAGUACCC